AUUGAACGCUGGCGGCAGGCCUAACACAUGCAAGUCGAACGAGUGGCGGACGGGUGAGUAAUGUCUGGGAAACUGCCUGAUGGAGGGGGAUAACUACUGGAAACGGUAGCUAAUACCGCAUCCCAUCGGAUGUGCCCAGAUGGGAUUAGCUAGUAGGGGGGGUAAAGGCUCACCUAGGCGACGCUCCCUAGCUGGUCUGAGAGGGUGACCAGCCACACUGGAACUGAGACACGGUCCAGACUCCUCCGGGGGGCAGCAGUGGGGAAUAUUGCACAAUGGGCGCAAUCCUGAUGCAGCCAUGCCGCUUGUAUGAAGAAGGCCUUCGGGUUGUAAAGUACUUUCAGCGGGGAGGCGUUACCCGCAGAAGAAGCACCGGCUAACUCCGUGCCAGCAGCCGCGGUAAUUC
Molecule: ribosomal RNA, 406 nt
Filed under: uncultured bacterium
Lineage: Bacteria
Description: partial 16S ribosomal RNA
Rfam family: Bacterial small subunit ribosomal RNA
Source: RNAcentral